GACUUCAUCGCUUAGUGGUUAGAGCAGCUCGUUGUGGAUCAUCAGGCAAUGAUACCGAGCAGACGCGUGUUCGAUUCACGCUGAGGUCA
Molecule: non-coding RNA, 89 nt
Organism: Tulasnella sp. JGI-2019a
Lineage: Eukaryota; Fungi; Basidiomycota; Agaricomycetes; Cantharellales; Tulasnellaceae
Source: the annotation of a GenBank genome assembly